UAAAGAUUUUAAGGGCGUACGGUGGAUGCCUUGGCGAUAUCAGCCGAAGAAGGACGCGGUAAGCUGCGAUAAGCUACGGAGAGGUGCAAGCAACCUUUGACCCGUAGAUUUCCGAAUGGGGGAACCCGGCAGUGGUUAUGCACUGUCACCCAUAGCUUAGACUAUGAGGAGGGCACCUGGGGAACUGAAACAUCUAAUUACCCAGAGGAAAAGUAAUCAAACGAGAUUUUCUUAGUAGCGGCGAGCGAACGGGAAAGAGGCCAAACCGGAGCGGGCAACCGCACCGGGGUUGAGGACAGUCAUCAAGUGUAAAUGAGGUAGAAGAAUCGAGUUGGAAAGCUCAGCCGCAGAAGGUGAAAGCCCUGUAAUCGAAACCUUGCAUACAUGGGACUGUAUCCAGAGUACCACGAGACACGUGAAACCUUGUGGGAAGCAGGGGGGACCACCCUCCAAGCCAAAAUACUGAUAUCGACCGAUAGCGCAUAGUACCGUGAGGGAAAGGUGAAAAGAACCCCUGGCGGGGAGUGAAAGAGAACCUGAAACCGUAUGUCUACAAACAGUCGAAGUCUGUAUAUAUAUCAGGACGACGGCGUGCCUAUUGAAGAAUGAACCGACGAGUUACUGUUGCUAGCGAGGUUAAGUGGAAAACAUGGAGCCGCAGCGAAAGCGAGUCUGAACAGGGCGUUCAGUUAGUAAUAGUAGACCCGAAACCGUAGUGAUCUAUCCAUGGCCAGGUUGAAGCACAGGUAAAAUUGUGUGGAGGACCGAACUCGUGAGCGUUGAAAAGCUUUGGGAUGAGUUGUGGAUAGGGGUGAAAUGCCAAUCGAACACGGAGAUAGCUGGUUCUCCCCGAAAUAGCUUUAGGGCUAGCCUCGAGGUUGAGAGUAUAGGCGGUAGAGCACUGAUCGGGCUAGGGGCCAUACCGGUUACCGAACCUAGUCAAACUACGAAUGGCUAUACUUAUACUCGGGAGUCAGACAGUGAAUGAUAAGGUCCAUUGUCAAGAGGGAAACAGCCCAGAACACCGACUAAGGUCCCCAAUGUUACACUAAGUGGCGAAGGAUGUGGAAUUUCCAAAACAACCAGGAUGUUGGCUUAGAAGCAGCCACCAUUUAAAGAGUGCGUAAUAGCUCACUGGUCGAGAGACUCUGCGCCGAAAAUGUCCGGGGCUAAAGUGUAAAACCGAAGUCGUGUCAUAUGCAGCAAUGUAUAUGGGUAGGGGAGCGUUCUCAUCGGGCUGAAGCAGUACCGUAAGGAGUUGUGGACUGAUGAGAAGUGAGAAUGUCGGUAUGAGUAGCGAAAAGAAUGGUGAGAAUCCAUUCCACCGAAAGCCUAAGGGUUCCUGAGCAACGAUCGUCGUCUCAGGGUAAGUCGGGACCUAAGCCGAGGCGGAAAAGCGUAGGCGAUGGACAACAGGUUGAAAUUCCUGUACCGGUGUGAAUCGUUUGAUCGAUGGAGUGACACAGUAAGGUAGGUCAGCACGCGAUUGGAAGUGCGUGUUUAAGCAUGUAGGUUGAGUUAUAGGCAAAUCCGUAACUCUAAAAGCUGAGAUGUGAUGACGAGCUGUUUACAGCGAAGUGAUUGAUCCUACACUGUCGAGAAAAGCUUCUAGGUAGAGACACAUCGCCCGUACCAAAACCGACACAGGUAGGCGGGGAGAGAAUCCUAAGGUGCGCGGGAAAACCCUCGUUAAGGAACUCGGCAAAAUGCCUCCGUAACUUCGGGAAAAGGAGGACUCAUGUAGUGUGAAGGGCAGUAACGCGUGGAGCAUGAAUGAGUGGCACAAGAGAGGCGCAAGCGACUGUUUACCACAAACACAGGUGCCUGCUAAAGCGAAAGCUGAUGUAUAGGUGCUGACACCUGCCCGGUGCUGGAAGGUUAAGAGGAGGGGUUAGACUUCGGUCGAAGCUCUGAAUUGAAGCCCCAGUAAACGGCGGCCGUAACUAUAACGGUCCUAAGGUAGCGAAAUUCCUUGUCGGGUAAGUUCCGACCCGC
This 1995-nucleotide ribosomal RNA is filed under the name human gut metagenome. RNAcentral's name for it is "bacterial LSU rRNA". It matches the Rfam family "Bacterial large subunit ribosomal RNA", at positions 1 to 1991 of the family's 2925-position model. The record is from RNAcentral.